Molecule: unclassified non-coding RNA, 241 nt
Filed under: uncultured Tremellomycetes
Lineage: Eukaryota; Fungi; Basidiomycota; Tremellomycetes
Description: sequence contains ITS1
Source: RNAcentral
ACAAAUCUAUUUAAUAAUAUGACAUUGGUUCGGGGUAAAACUUGAACUUAAUGUAAUAUUUACCCGGAGCCGGUUUGGCUCUGGCAAUUUUCGUGGUGGUCAAACGGCCGCCGCGAAGAUUGUCAACUGAGUUAUUGAGGUGAAAUAUAUUCAAUAACACAUAAACUCGAUUGCUAUUUGUUUGACAGUGUACUAUUUAAUUUGCUUCAUUGCUGAUUAAAUAUUAUUCAAAAAAUAAAUA